Molecule: ribosomal RNA, 253 nt
Filed under: uncultured bacterium
Lineage: Bacteria
Description: partial 16S ribosomal RNA
Rfam family: Bacterial small subunit ribosomal RNA
Source: RNAcentral
UACGUAGGGGGCAAGCGUUGUCCGGAUUUAUUGGGCGUAAAGAGCGUGUAGGCGGCCAGGUACGUCUGCUGUGAAAACUCGAGGCUCAACCUCGAGACGUCGGCGGAAACCAUCUGGCUAGAGUCCGGAAGAGGAGAGUGGAAUUCCUGGUGUAGCGGUGAAAUGCGCAGAUAUCAGGAAGAACACCCGUGGCGAAGGCGGCUCUCUGGGACGGUACUGACGCUGAGACGCGAAAGCGUGGGGAGCGAACAGG